UCAGUCAUCACUCGAGAGGUAGUCCAUGUCGACAUACAACAACUUGCAUGAAGAAGCUAUAAACUAGAAUGAUGUUACAUUGAAUUGAAUUGGCCCGAGAAGUAAUAAAGCCUCUCUCUCAAUUCUCAAUUUUCAAUCCCAAGCAAGUUUAAGGGUCUGUUUGGUUCGAGGGAAUAGGACCCUAAAAUCAGAAUCGGAAUGAAUCAUUCCGUUUUUGAAUGUUUGGUCGACCAGAAUGGGAAUGAGUAGGCGGAAUGUGAUUCGCUCAUAUGGGGAAGCCAUUCCCGACCCCCUCCCCCGGAAUGCGAUUCCCAUUCCGCUAUUUAGGUUCCUAAUUUUUUUUUGGACAAAAAUCCCCUCCAAUCUAACCUACGAUUAACUGUUGUUGUGAAAGGGAAGAAUCCCUCCAACCUCCAUACUAGUCGUUGUUGUCGCCACCGUCAACCCCAUCUCUGGUAAGAUCGGCCCCAUCUCCACUUCGGAUCUGCAUUGCUGUGAUUCGUUUUACAGAACUGCCCUAUUCUUGUCUGUUUUAAACCGCUUCCUACUCUAUGUUAUGAUUUUUCAAAGAAAAAUAUAAAGGAAAGGUCUUCAAAAUGGUUUUUGUAGGUCUGUUACAAAUUUGACCGAUGUUUCCUCCAUUUGGAAUGAAUGACUUAAUUGUAACUAUCUUAACAUUCUUAUAAUGUGAAGCUCCUUCUGCAUCUCAUCCUCAUGUAGACAAGGUCCAGCGUGCUUUUGGUUGUUUUUAUGUUGAGGAAGUAAUGUGGAAUCUGAUCUUGUUAUUAUUUCUUUCAGUUUGAUUAUUUUGUUAUUCUUGUAUCUCUUGAUAUAGAAAUUGUUUCUUGUAUCUCUGUCAUCCUGAAAAAUAGAUAGAUAAAUUUGUUUAGACUCUGUACUUAGACCUGGAGCCCCUCAAAUCAGUUUAGAAUCCUCAGAUCUUGUGAUUCCUCUUGCUGAAGGAUCAGCUAGGCUAUUGGCUAACCUUGGGGUCCAGUUGAACAAGCAGUUCAUGUUUGAUACUAAAGUCUGGGCUUCUAGUAUCAUACUUAUAAGAGACCAAGGACCUGGAGUUAUAGAAGCGAACCAGGAAUUUUCCACUUGAUGGUUACCUUCUACAACCAGGUUGCUAUAAUUUGAAGGGUGAAACAGCCUCAAAGAAUCUCCUCCUUGUGGUCCCAAGUAGCUUAAUAAUAUUUGACAUGUUAAAUUCCUUAGAAUAGAACUUUAAGCAAUAUCAAAAGUAUACGGUGAGAAUUUGUUGAGGAGGGUUAGAAGAAUAACCUUUUUGUUUUUCUGUGUCUAUGCCAUUUUUGGCUUCAAUUUCUUUAAUAUUUUCUAUGAUACCCAUUGUUCCUAGAAAUACCUGCGAAAUGAGAGAGAGUAUAUUAAACUUUUCACUUUUGUAACAACUAUGAAUCAUCAACCAAACAAGUGGAGAUACUCAAAUAAAAUUUGUAAACAUAAACAUCAAGAAAAUGACAAAUGCAAGAUAUCAAACAAAAGUUGUUUAUUUGGGUCAGCAGAUAACCAAGGUCCAUGGUGUACAAAAGAUUGAUUCAAAGAAUAUAACUCUAGAUUGACUGUAGAAGCUGCAAAUUUCUUGAAUCAGUAUUUUAUAGGUUGAUUAAAAAAAUAAUAAUAGAAGCAUUGAGGAGCUUGACCACAGGAUAAGUGGAUGAAUAUAUGUUAGACAUGAUAGUGUCUUUGGUUAUAUGGAUAAACGUUAGUCAAAUUUAUUAGAUGCAUUUAGAUGAUUUGUAUAUUAGGCUCAGUUUGGGAAGAUUGCAAUUUGCAAAUUCAAAUAUGUUCAGUACAAAUACAAGGUUUAGAAAUGCCAUAUACAAGGUUCUGCACUAUACAUAUUUGUAUUUGCAUUCUUCUCAAGCUCAGCCUUAACAACAUAGUAAGAAGGAAAAUAAACUAACCUCCAAUAGAUAGUGAAAUACUAAAUGGUUGAUACUCAACUUUGUUAUAAUUACCACUGAAAUACUUCAUAUGACUUUUAUAUUUUAACUACUAACAUAUGCCAAUCUGUCUUUUUGACACAAUCAUAGACAGCUUCUAGUGUCAAAUUGGUAAAUAUCCAAAAACCUCCAGAAACAUCUAAUUUCUUUUGACACAUUCUUGUUUUUAUAUCCCUCUAAAAACAAGAGGAUUGUAGGGCUAGCAAACAUGUCGAUUGUAGGUCACAUAUAAUCUAUUCAGUAACCAGUAGUAUGUAUUGUAGGGCUAGCAAGCUAACAAUCUGAUGGAUUGAACUAUUUCAUUUAGAUGGGUUCUAACAAUGCUUAUUGUGCUGUAGAGUUAUGCCUUAGUGGAGUUUUCAGGACACUAUUUAACCCAACUUUGUCAUUUCCUUCUGUAUAAGGACUCUUUUGGGUUUUUUUCCUCUCUUUUGUAUUCUCACCACCUUUGUUCUUUAAGGUUCAGGGGUUGUACUUACAAUUUUUUUUUUCUCUUUAAUACAAGUUAAUAAAAAAUUAUGGGAUAAUUCUAAUUUGGUUAGUAAGGAAUUGAGGAUUCCCUUGCUUUAGCUUACUUUUGGGUAUUUUAAGGGCACACCAUACACAUCAUUUUAGUUCCUUUAGUUGGUGGUAAAUUGUUCUUAGUGAAAUGACAGAGGGAGUGGACAGAUCUAAACUAGUUUGGGAGCAUCAUGCCUGAGACUUUACACAGGGUUGAAUGUGCUCUUUACCUUUUAGUAGGUUGAAUGAUAGACAAUUUCAUGUCUGAAGUUGAAAUAAGCAUUAGCAAAUAGCUUAAAAACACGACAGGUGGAACAUAUACAUGAUAAAGAGUAAUUAGGAACCAGUGUUAUCCAACAGGAAAAAAAUUCCAGUAGUAAUUCUUAACAACCAUGCCAGGGUUAAGUACAAAGUUAGAAACAGAGUUAUCACUGGAAUGUAAAUAAAAAAUACAGGUCAAAAUUAUUCUUAGCAACCAUGUCAAGUAAAAGAAUGUUCGGAAGCCACAUUGAAUGCUGUCAUUCUAGUCGUUGUUGUCUAGUAUUCUCUGUCAUUUUGGACAGUCUUUUUUUAUUGGGAACUUUGUCUACUAGUGCAGGGGAAUAUGUUGUCAAAAAAUCAAUAGAUGCGUUCGUGGAGGAUAAAAAUGGGGUAUGAUGUCAAUGUUCAGUUUGCUUUAGUUGCUACUUGACUGUCAAUUUGCAUUUUCUUUAUAUUCAACUUCCUAAUUGGCAAUCAAAUUUGCGCUUUCUACAGGAUUCUCCAAACCAGUUCUAGUUUGUGAGAAAUCUUGUAAAGAAACUUGGCUAUGAAGUUUCUCGAAAACUUUCUAAAAAACACCAAUAAAUGUGCGAAGCUCAAGUAUUACCUUCGUAUCCAAUAUUUUGGUUUCUUUUUUUUUUAAUUAAGUUUACCAUAUUGUUAGCGUGACAAUAAAUUUGUAGCUUGUCUAUGGUAUUGGUUAUGCAGUCAAUGGAGAAUGUAGUUGUGGACUGCAAUUAGUUAGUUGAAAUCAGAAAUGGCUACAUAUAGAAGUUGAUUAAUGAAGCUUGAAGCAGAGGUUUUGUCUUUGAACCCAAUUAACAAUGGAGGAAAUUCUUGUGGAUCCUACUAACAAUGCACUAGUUGGACAACAGACAUCAAAGAGAUGGAGACCAAAGAAGCCUAUUGCUACAGUUGAUGGCUUACAUUCUCCCGAUGAGUGCCAACUCCAAUCUCGUGGAAGAAAGCCUACAUAGCUCAAGGUUCAAUGCAACUAUUCAGCAAGAAAAUGAUGGAAGGAUUCCAAAGGUUUUUACGAGUGGCAGCAGCAACUUUGAGCUCAUCGGGGCAAGUGUGAAUCUUCCUGUAGAAGUUCAAGCAAGAUAGGAUCUUGUACAGAAUCAGGCGCCUAUUGAGUUUUUUAUUCCAUUUGAGUUAUGGCUCUAAUACAGAUGUACUUUAGUUUGUAGUUCAAUAUGUAUAUAUGGGGGCAAAUUAUUCAAUAUAUAUCUGUUUUUGAGGUUUA
This is a long non-coding RNA of Nelumbo nucifera (sacred lotus), 3975 nucleotides long. RefSeq lists it as uncharacterized. NCBI's taxonomy places the organism in Eukaryota, Viridiplantae, Streptophyta, Magnoliopsida, Proteales, Nelumbonaceae. The record is from RefSeq and is a predicted model, not a curated record.